AUAACCUCGGGAAACUGAGACUAAUACCCCAUAGGUCCAGAAUGCUGGAAUGCUUCUGGGCUGAAAGCUCCGGCGCCCAAGGAUUGGUCUACGGCCUAUCAAGCUGUAGUGGGUGUAACGGACCCACUNNNCUAUGNNNGGUNNNGGCCUUGAGAGAGGGAGCCCAGANANNNACUCUGAGACAUGANNNNNGGCNNNACGGGGUGCAGCAGUCGCGAAAACUUCACGAUGGGAGCAAUCCCGAUGAGGGAAUUCCAAGUGCCAACACACUGUGUUGGCUGUUCUCCUGUCUAAAAAGCAGGAGAAGUAAGGGCCGGGUAAGACGGGUGCCAGCCGCCGCGGUAAUACCCGCGGCCUGAGUGGUGGUCGAUAUUAUUGAGCCUAAAACGUCCGUAGCCGGUCUCGUAAAUCCCUGGGUAAAUCGGCCAGCUCAACUGUCCGAAUUCCGGGGAGACUGCGGGACUUGGGACCGGGAGAGGUCAGAGGUACUUCCGGGGUAGGGGUAAAAUCCUGUAAUCCUGGAAGGACCACCGGUGGCGAAGGCGUCUGACUAGAACGGAUCCGACGGUGAGGGACGAAGCCCUGGGGCGCAAACGGGAUUAGAUACCCCGGUAGUCCAGGGUGUAAACGCUGCGGGCU
This 639-nucleotide ribosomal RNA is filed under the name uncultured euryarchaeote. RNAcentral's name for it is "partial 16S ribosomal RNA". It matches the Rfam family "Archaeal small subunit ribosomal RNA", at positions 126 to 768 of the family's 1478-position model. Lineage: Archaea; Methanobacteriati; Methanobacteriota. The record is from RNAcentral.